CCGGAGUCAUUGGGCGUAGUGGGCGCGUAGGCGGCCGUUCAGGUCUGGAGUGAGAGUCCUGUUUUCAAGAGGGGAGUUCGCUUUGGAUACUGGACGGCUUGAGUGCGGGAGAGGUUAUCGGAGUUCCCGGUGUAGCGGUGAAAUGCGUAGAGAUCGGGAGGAGCACCAGUGGCGAAGGCGGGUAACUGGACCGCAACUGACGCUGAAGCGCGAAAGUGUGGGGAGCAAACAGGAUUAGAUACCCUGGUAGUCCACACUGUAAACGAUGAAUGCUAGGUGUAGGAGGUAUCGACCCCUUCUGUGCCGGAGUCAACACAAUAAGCAUUCCGCCUGGGGAGUACGGCCGCAAGGUUGAAAACUCAAAGGAAUUGACGGGGGCCCGCACAAGCAGCGGAGCAUGUGGAUUAAUUCGACGCAACGCGAAGUACCUUACCAGGUCUUGACAUCCAGUAAAGCCUGUAGAGAUACAGAGUCCCUUUCGGGGGUACUGAGACAGGUGGUGCAUGGUUUGUCGUCAGCUCGUGUCGUGAGAUGUUGGGUUAAGUCCCGCAACGAGCGCAACCCUUGCCGAUAGUUACUAACGGGUGAAGCCGAGGACUCUAUUGGGACUGCCGGGGACAACUCGGAAGGAAGGUGGGGGACGACGUCAAAUCAUCAUGGCCCCUUAUGACCUGGGCUUCACACGUGCUACAAUGGCCGAAAACAAAGGAGGCGCGAAUCCGGUAAGGAAGAGCAGAUCUCAAAAACUCGGGUCUCAGUUCGGAUUGGUGGGCUGCAACCCGCCCACAUGAAGUCGGAGUUGCCUAGUAAUCGCGGGAUCAGC
This 823-nucleotide ribosomal RNA is filed under the name uncultured bacterium. RNAcentral describes it as "bacterial SSU rRNA". It matches the Rfam family "Bacterial small subunit ribosomal RNA", at positions 545 to 1353 of the family's 1533-position model. The record is from RNAcentral.